AACCGCCAUACUGAAUUUGUCGACAGGAUGUUGAUAGGAACAGGAAAAGCCUAAAGGAAUAGGUCUCUUCAGGAAGAAGACGUGGUUAUUUAGGAUGAAUAACCCACAAGGAAGUUUGUAGCUCUAGGAAGGGCGCACCCGUCAGGAUGACAGGUUAGUAUGGACACCGCUAGGAAGGCGAUGAACAAGGAAAUUGGUUAAAGGAUUUAGCCACAAUCAAGGAUAGAUGCAGGGAGCACCUAUUAGUAGCUGGAUUGCUGCACAAAAGAAUAGACCCCGCUUGAGUAAAUCAAGCGGGGUUUUAUUUUUUU
Molecule: non-coding RNA, 311 nt
Filed under: Vibrio azureus NBRC 104587
Lineage: Bacteria; Pseudomonadati; Pseudomonadota; Gammaproteobacteria; Vibrionales; Vibrionaceae
Source: RNAcentral